Molecule: long non-coding RNA, 2699 nt
Filed under: Strigops habroptila (Kakapo)
Lineage: Eukaryota; Metazoa; Chordata; Aves; Psittaciformes; Psittacidae
Description: lncRNA (ENSSHBG00005005585.1)
Source: RNAcentral
UCUUCUUUUUAUAUUAGUGUUUCUGGCUCCAAAAAAAAAAAUCUCAAGUAUGUAACUGAAAUUCACUCACCACCUGUCCCUUCUCAACUUGCUCACUUGAGGGUUUGGGUAAUGGAUCUAACCCAUUUUCAAACAAUGAAAAAGCAGCUCUCCCACCCCAGGCUGCUCCAGCGCUGCUGUGAAGCAGUACUGCAGCUGUAACACAGCCACAACAAACACGAAGUUCAGCGCGCCUGUUUCACAUGUUCUUUAAUUUCAAACAGAGGGAUUUUGGUUGUGUUUGUUUCUCAGUUACUUUAUACAGAAAACAGAACUCAGGAUAUGGCAUUUCAGGACAUCAUGUAGAGCAAGAGAAGUAUAGUUUCAAAAACUUAGAAUACUACAGUUAAGUCACUGCUGUGCUUGAGAAUUAAGGAGGUGUUCUGAUGAAGAGAUGAAAAUGUCAUACACAUUUGCUAAAGGGAUGACAGUUUUCUUUCAUUAGGCAACUGCAACACCAAGUAUCUCGAGACAUUAACAAUCCAUUCUUGUGUAUGUAAAUAUACACAAUGUAAAUAUGCUGACUGCUAAGUCAAGAUUACAAUUAGAAUUGCAAUUUUACAUGUGCAGUGAAUAGGAACUCUGUAUAGUUUACUGGUGAGAAGAAACUCUAGCCAUUUGCAAAAUGAGGUUCCAACUUUAUCCCCGACAGCAUUUCAGGACAAGAAAGUCACAUGGAAUACCACCAUCAAGCUAUUACAAUCCUGUAUUUUCAGAAAAUUACAUUCUGGUACAUCAAACCCUCUCAGUGUGACACACAUGGUAUUAUCUUGCUCUUCAAUCCCUAAGGCUAUUCAACACUAACUUGAAGCUGGGUGCUUGGCUUGCAUAUGCAACUGUUGCAGUUGGGCAGUCACAGCAGACAAAUGCCAAUGCAGAGCAAUAGUUAUGAUCAUUCAUGCAUGGAAUAUACGCUUUAAGAUGUGGAUAACUACAUAAAAAUAGUAGAAACCAUUCUGCACUCAUUUCCCAGUAUGAGGCUUCAAGACAUUUUAGGUAUCUGUUUAUACCAAAUUUGGCCAGAGAGUGCAGACAGAAGUGAACAGCUCCAUAAAAUGAAGACUACAUAAGCAGCUUCUACCAGAUCCUACAAAAAUUCAUGGUAAGUGUAUAUGCAACUGGGCAUCUUAAAAUAAGAGUAAGGACAACAAUUAGAUUAAGGAAUAUCUUGAUUUCUACUAUCAUGUAUCAGUUACAGUUUUCUAAGCUCUGGUGUUGUGCAAGGAUACCAGACAAUCUUAUUUAGAAACUCUAUGUUUCAUGUGUAACUUCUGAAGAUACACAAUGCCCUCAGAAUAAUUCACUUUUUGUGAAUACUUCAUGAAAACAUUUGCUCUGGUGUCACGGUGUAAGGAACAACUUACAAAGGAUCCAGGUGGCUUUACAACAUCCAUCCAGUAUGGUUUUGUAGUCUAUCUACAGACAGGCUUUUUAGGAACUUCACAAGAAAAAACAUCCUUAGAUUUCUUCCUGCUGUGUACGAAAGAAGUAUCUGGUUGAUCAGAUAGGUACUAAGGAUUCCACUCUUAAGUCAUUUUAUUUUAAGCUCAGAAAAAGCAAAGCAUUACCCUGACAAUUCAGUGCUACUGUCUGGUCACCUGUUGUCAGAAAUGGUGAGGAAAGACCUCAGAAUUUUGUUAAGUUCUGGAAGAUGAGCAGUUAAUUUAGCAGUCUUGUUUAGGACUGAUAGUGGGGGUCAGUCCAACUGCAGGCUACAGCUGUUGCCAACAGAUCCUUAACUACAGUCCUCUGCUGGUCUCCUUGAUUACACGUUUGUAAGGCAUCUAGCAAAGCAUGAGAGCAUUUUCUGAGACCUCUUUAUAACCCUGGAGUGCAAACAACAGGGACUACUUUGCUCACAAAUGAUUUAAAGUUCCAAGCUAUCACAGAUCACUAAGUGACUACUGAACAGGGGAAGGAAAAUGGACAUUCUGCUGGCUUUCCCCUUCAGCUGGGAGCUGCCUGUGCCAGCCAAGUCCACUGUGGUAGCGAACAGUGUGUGUAAAAUUGCCCUGCAACAUUAUUACAGAUACACUCACAAGAGGCCAGUUCAAAGCUUCAAUCCUCCCCCUUUACCCUGCAUACAGCCUUCUUUUUAAAAACAAACCAACUUUUUGGAGGCAGUUUUUCAGCAGAACAAAGGGCUCUCAAAGGAGUUAAUAUCUUUUUGUUUAAAGCAAAUUAGGGAUUCAGCUUUUCUGAUAACACAUUUUAGUGAUAUCAAUAUAUUUACAGCCUCUUAAAAAAUACUGGAUAGCUCCGACUCCCUUCAGUAAAGGUUCCCUCAAAUACAUUCUUCAAAGCCAUCGAAACUAAUUUUGCAACAUCACUUACAACCUUAUCUUUCUGAAAAUGUUCUUUUAAAGUGUUUCAUAUAAAAGUUCUCUUUAGCUUCUACUGCCCAGAAAGCAUCUUUUUCUUGAUCAGUUGUGCCCAAUUUGUCAUACUGAACUCGCUGGUUCGUUCUUUCCAGCUCAUCUCCCAUCUCCUCUGCCCUUUACAGGCAUACUUGAAUAGCUUUGUCACUUCCAUCCUGAGCAGACAAGGCACUCGCAUUUUAAAAUGCUGAAGAUACCCCUCUCAUUUCAGCUGAAUCUUCUGGAGGUACUGCCAGAGUUGUGUUCAUAAGCUGAACACACCAGUGAAGAUUAUUUUCCUCC